CUCACUUUAGCGGUAAUGGUCUAGUUUCAAUUUGUGCAAGUAAAUAAUAUCAAGGGGUUCAAAAGUCUUUCAUUUUCAAUAUGUUCUUUUCAAUUUGCACCAUUCAAGAUUGCAUCUUUAAACUCUUUCGAAAUAUAUAUAUUUGACUUAAUUAGAUUUAGGAAUACUUUUUUCUUUUUUUAAUAAAAUGAAACUUCAAUAAAAUUCUUGAAGACAAGGGUUCUUUUUAUGUCAUAAAGAUAUAAUGAUAAUAUCGAAAUUACAUAAUCAAAGAUUUCAGAUUUUCGAGCUUAAAGUUUUAGUUUUAGUAUGACUAAGACAAAAGUACAUGAAAUGCAAAUUUAGUAAUGUGUCUUGUACAAAAUGGAGGUUGGAUUCAAGUCAUCUCCGAGAAAGAGAGAGAGUUUCAAGUAGUGGAAGCUAUUAAUUCAAGAUAAUGUGUUUCUGAAAUUUCAAUCUUAAUUUAAAAUUUACUUUGUGUCUUAUCCCAAAAUAUUAUUUCAUAAUAUAGUAAUGUAGUUUUGUAUGACUAAGAAUAGCCAGAUUCAAACUUCUAUUUUUAUCUUCUGAUCCACCCAACCUAAAUGAGUUGGCUACCAACCUUUUAAAACCCUACCAUAUUAAACUAAGCCAUUUUGCCUGUGCGUUCUGUUUUGUACUAUUCGAAUAUGGAUCUUAUUUGCAAACUUUGAAUAACAACUCAAAACCACAACUGAUUAUCAAUUAAAUCAUGUGCUAAGCACAUGUAAUGUUUUCUUAUUCUAAAGAAAAUUGAUAAAUCAUAUCAUUGUAACAAACCAAAAAUCCUCACUAUACUAAUAAGGGCACUAAAACACUGUUACAAUUUUAAGUUUUUAAUUUCAAUAAUCAAUUUACUAAUGAAAAUACUGAAAUAACAAGUAACUAAGAAUAUAGAUAUGAAUAAAGAUGAAAAGCUUAGACUAUAUUGGGAUGAGAAACAUCAAAUUGCCAUUGCACAUAAUUCAUACGAUGCCCUCUCAUAUUAAUGCCAUGUUCUAUUUAACAAUGCCUUCAGUGUGGAUCUCAAAUUAUCCUUUGUAAAGGCCUGAUCUUGUUGCUUGUAUCGGGUCUACUUGUACCAAUACCUAUCCAUGUGAUAUACUUGUUAGUAGGGGCGUCAAAAAUCAACCCAAACAUAGGUAACUGUUCAGAAUUUUAAAGGUUGGACUCAAGAUAAUUUGAAUUGAGUUCAAUCUCAACUCAUUCAAGCCUAAUCUAUUUAAAGAGGAUCCUCUAUUAAGCCCGAUUCAAUUUCCAAUUUCAAUUCUUUUUAAAACUUUUAUCAAGAUAUGUAUCUAUAUUGCAGAUAUGAAUUAUUAUCUAUUUGACAUCCUUUAUGAUUUAUCUAUCCAUUUGUUACUUUAUCAAAAAAUAUUAUUGAGACAAGAUUCAAAUUGUGAUUAGAAAAGUGAAAUAUCAAUAUGUUGGUUUGUUAAGAUUUAUAGGGUUAAAUUGAGUGGGUCAAAAUUCAGCCAGUUAUUUAGGUCAUUUAAACCCAACCAAUUUGAGCCUAAAGUAAAUUUGGGCGUGUCAAGACCCAACCCGACUUCUAUUUCAACCCAUUUUAAUAUCCUCAAUUUUAAUCAACUCGCCCAUUUGACAUCCCAACUUGUUAGUGUCAUUAUUGAACAGGAGCUGAUUCAUAACAAUUAAUAUUUUAUGUGGUAGGUAAUUUGUAAAUAUAUAUGAAGUGAGAUUAUCUUACAAUGGAAAGCAAAACAGAAUUGAAGGUUUUGUAUAUUGAAAGUUUUAUUUUAUAUUUUAAUUUCGUCAAGUUUGUUCACGUAAUAAGAUGGAUAUUCAAAAGAGUCAUUUUUCUGAAAAUAGAUUAGAUCUUCUUUCGACUUUCAUAAAAAGUGGCUAAGAAAAUUCUACAAAUAUAAAGACACCCUCAGGAGGAAUGAUCCUCAAGCAACCAUUCUCAUCAAACAUUUUCUAAUAACUAAAUAUGAUUUAGGUGUAUUUUUAAAAAUAGCUUAAGGUAUUUUUGACACUAAUCACUUUUAAAUUGAGUUUUAAUAUCUUUGCAAGAAGAAACCCAAAAUAAGAAAUUUGAAGGUUGCCCCGAUUAAACUUUAAGGGUUAUCUGGUAGCUGGUUUGAAGAUGAGCUAUGCAAGUACUUAGAAAAAAUUAUCUAACUACACAUCAUUUAUUAUCAUAUUUUUCUUAUUUUCCCUACUAUUUCAAAAAAUAUUAAAAUCCCCUUUUUUGCUCUCAUCAUUUCUUUUUUUUCCAGAUACAUUAUUUUGAUUUUUGAAAUCUCUUAACUAUGAUUUUCCUUACUUUUUUCACUCAACAAAUCUCUCUACAGUUACUUCCAUUAAUCUAUUUUUGAAUUUCAAAUCUUCUCUUUCCAAUAAAAGACUUCAAGUUAUUCGAGAGAGAGGUGGAGAAACCUUAUUAAUGCACAUAGUUCAUCUUGGAGUGCAUUUGAAAUGGUUUCAGGAAUUUCUAAUGGCGGUCUUGAUACACUUCAUUCCGUUGGUUCGAUCUUUUAAUUUUUUUGCUUACUUUCAAUGUAUCUCGCUUAUUUUGAUUCUUAAAUUAGUCUUUUUUUAUUGUUAUCAUUGAUCUGAUAUAUCAUGUUCAUAUAUAAGGUAUUGAUACAUAACUCUAAUGUUGUUGAAUCUUUGAUUAGUGUUUAUCAGGGGCGGAGCCACCUUGGUACAAUAUUUAUACAGGUUAAAAUAAUAUUUUAUGUAUAUAUAUUAGAUGUCGAACCCCCUUUGGCUACUCCGUGCGUCUAUUUCUACGAAUUUCGAACCCCCUUAUUGAAAAUCAUGGCUCCGCCACUGGUGUUUAUCAUGUUCAAUACAAUGGUACUUGAUACAUAAACUUUGUAUUAUGUAUCACACACCAAAAAAUAUGUUAUUUGGAACAAUUACAUGUAUAUAGUAUUUCUCAAACAAAAUAAGGUACAUAGAUAAUAAUAUAUCAUCCACUAAUUUUUUAGCCGUGAAUGUAAAUUCAAAUUCAUACUAAAUGUAUCUGAUACAUAACAAUUACCAAACAAUAAUGUAUCAAUCUCAACAAAUACAGUUGAUGAUAAACCUUAAUGUUCUGUAGCCUGUUCUGUAGCCAAAGCAUUGUGUAUCAAAUUAAUUGAUAGGUGCAUGAUAUGCAAUAUAUACCAAAUUCAACAGUUUUACAAA
This is a non-coding RNA of Solanum lycopersicum (tomato), 3174 nucleotides long. The record is from RefSeq and is a predicted model, not a curated record. NCBI's taxonomy places the organism in Eukaryota, Viridiplantae, Streptophyta, Magnoliopsida, Solanales, Solanaceae.